UGGUUUCCGUUCUCCAACUUUAGUUUACCUCAACCAAAUGUUAUGAAACUUAUACACAAUGGUUAUUAACACAAAACUUAGAUCAAGUAUGAAUUUGGGUGAUGUCACUUUUACCGUUCUGGAGUUAUGUCCCUUUAUAACGUUAUAUGCAAGCAGGGGCAUCACAUUCUCCAUUUAUUUUCUUAAUUAAUGCUUCAUUUCUAUCAGUUUGAGUUUGAGGUAUCUACAUCAUCCAUAACAUAUUUUUUGUUUUAAACCAUAAUCAUUUAAUUGUAUUAGAUGCAUUUGUUUUCUAACCUUUGGUAUCAAUAUAAAAAUAGAAGAUAUUUGUGGUAUGAUUGCCAAUGAUACAAUUAUCCACCACAAUUAAAAUGAAGUGAAUGUAAGCAAUAAUUUAUAGACAACCAUACAGCCUUCAACAAUGAGAAAAACCCAUGCCGUAUAGUCUGUAUCAAGUUUAUAUAUUGGAGAUGAUAAUAUACAACAAUUUUGUAUGUAAUAAAACACAGCAUGAUUAUGUUAAAAUGUUUUUAAACAUGUAUAUUUUCCUUAUUUUUUAGGUAGUAAUGAGAAUGUUUUCAUGGUGCUGGGAGUAAGACUUGGAGAUCUGAUACUGUUUACAUGUUGGUUAGCAUCACAUUUCCAUAGGGUUACUUGAUGGGUAGUAAUUAAUUGGAGCUGUUUUAAGUUGAAAGUGUAACUGUUGCUGCCUUGUAUGGUAAAAUUCUCAGACAAUAAUCCUGCAAACCAUCAGAUGAUCUGUUGCUAACUAUUUUGUAGCAUCCAUAGACAGUAGUCUUGUAAGCAGAAGAAUGAGUUGUUAACAUUUUUGAUUUUAUGCUGUAUUGAGUUAUACAAAUUUUUCACUAUUUUUACUUGCAUUCAAUUAUCGUAAUAUGAUUGAUGAAAAAUAAAACUGUGAAAUUAUUAUUAUUUGAGAGGUCCCAAAGAUAUACCAUAUGGUUUCACAAAGUUCCAUAAAACUUGCAU
This is a long non-coding RNA of Mytilus californianus (California mussel), 990 nucleotides long. RefSeq lists it as uncharacterized. The record is from RefSeq and is a predicted model, not a curated record. Lineage: Eukaryota; Metazoa; Mollusca; Bivalvia; Mytilida; Mytilidae. The transcript is spliced from 3 exons.